GGCNCCNCCGGGNCAGAUANUGACCACUUCAGAUUGGCGAAAGUGUGGGGGAGACGAAACCAGNGAUAUAGAAUAACCCUGGUAGUGCCCGCCGUAAAACGAUGUCUACUUUGGAGGGUGUGGCCCUGAGCCCGUGGCUUUCGGAGCUAACGCGUUAAGUAGACCGCCUGGGGAGUNCGGUCGCAAGAUUAAAACUCAAAAUGAAUUGACGGGGGCCCGCACAAGCGGUGGAGCAUGUGGUUUAAUUCGAUGCAACGCGAAGAACCUUACCUACUCUUGACAUCUACAGAAGCCAGCGGAGACGCAGGUGUGCCUUCGGGAACUGUAAGACAGGUGCUGCAUGGCUGUCGUCAGCUCGUGUUGUGAAAUGUUGGGUUAAGUCCCGCAACGAGCGCAACCCUUAUCCUUGUUUGCCAGCACUUCGGGUGGGAACUCCAGGGAGACUGCCGGUGAUAAACCGGAGGAAGGUGGGGACGACGUCAAGUCAUCAUGGCCCUUACGAGUAGGGCUACACACGUGCUACAAUGGCGCAUACAGAGGGCGGCCAACUUGCGAAAGUGAGCGAAUCCCAAAAAGUGCGUCGUAGUCCGGAUUGGAGUCUGCAACUCGACUCCAUGAAGUCGGAAUCGCUAGUAAUCGUGGAUCAGAAUGCCACGGUGAAUACGUUCCCGGGCCUUGUACACACCGCCCGUCACACCAUGGGAGUGGGCUGCAAAAGAAGUGGGUAGUUUAACCUUCGGGAGGACGCUCACCACUUUGUGGUUCAUGACUGGGGUGAAGUCGUAACAAGGUAACCG
This 797-nucleotide ribosomal RNA is filed under the name uncultured bacterium. RNAcentral's name for it is "bacterial SSU rRNA". It matches the Rfam family "Bacterial small subunit ribosomal RNA", at positions 721 to 1502 of the family's 1533-position model. The record is from RNAcentral.